UCCCGGAGAGGCUGUGUUCCGUCAGCGUUAGAGCCUCACUUUCUCGGUGUGCUACCGGGUGGUCCUGCAGCCCCUCGGUUUUCUGUUCUUGACCUUGAGUUACGUUUGCCCCGAGGUCGCCCGCCCCUGUCUUUUGGGACAAGCCUGUGGCUGGCCAAGGGUCCCCGCAAUGUGCUGGGGCUCGGGGCCUCUCCACAGGACGCUCCUCCUAGUACCUCCUCUGCGCGAAGGUUCUAGACCUUCCAGGGAAGGGCCUUUGUCCCUUGGCGCUGUGCCAUCAAGAGCUGGACCUCCCCCGGUCACGUGACGCUGUCGCCUAGCAACGAGAACCAAGCUGCAGCCUGGGCUGAGCAGAGCUGGUUUGCUGCCAGAGCCCAAUGUCCGAGGAAGGCCCCCAGGAGUGUGCAGAGCCUGCGGCGCCCAAGGCCGAGGCGCCCCCGGAGAGAACCAGCGACUACUACCGCGUGAGCGAACGCCUGCCCGUCCGGUUCAACAACCCGGGGUGGUUUCGGGGCUACAGAGCCACAGCCGCUGCCUCUGUGUACAGGACCAGUAACCAGGCCUACGGGAGCAGAGCGCCCACCGUGCACGAGAUGCCGGUAUGUGGGAAGCCAAAAGUGUUUUACUCAAGUUCAAGUCAGUUUUCCAGACAGCUCUCAGCUAGUGGAAUGUUCCGGGAUAAUACGUUCAACGUCAGCAUGGAGAAGAGCGUCGUAACGGGCCCGGACAACUACAUCACCCCCUGCGACAGGCUUAACUUCCACCCCAGUUACAAUGUCAACAAGCCGUCCAUCUGCGACUAGGCGGGACAUCCCUCCGGGAGUCUUCUCCAGCCGUUUCUCUGUUGCAAAUGAUUUGCCCAAUUGUAAAGGGAUAAAAGCACUCUUUACAAAAUUAAAGUCACAUCAUGGGUUAUGUGGAACCGCUGUUCUUCCCAGAAGCACUUAAGUGAACAAAUAUGCCACAACAAACCUGUCACAAGUACAAGACGGCUCAGGACAGUGAAGGACAGCAGGGGCGUGAGUCUGAGUUUGGGCAAGGACUGAAUUAUGCUGGGGUAUACGGGGUCAGAGGAUCCACUCCUAUGCUACAGCACCAACCAAACUCAGCUACAAAGCAGACCACGCCACGGCUGAACUGCCACGCUCAGGGUGAGCGACAACCAGUGUGGAUGUGACCACUGCUGUCCAUGGCGGCUUCUGUCCCCAGAGAAGCCAUGGGCCCCUCAGUGCCUCAGGAAAGAAGCCCAGGAAGUCAGGGACCCCAACACCAAGGACAAACGCCACUGCCUGGGAGUGGCAUUGGGCCUUUGGGUGCUGCCCAAGGGCGCAGCCACAGAGAGCCACAUCCCCAACUGGGCGCCAGGUAUGUGGGGAGGCCUGUCCCCAGCGGGCUUUCCACCAGCCUGCAGAGGUGGCUGAGGCCUUUGGGGACCAAGCACCCAAGAGUUGUGCUUAUUCACUCACAUGUACAAAUCAACAGGACAGUCACGACGCACGUGCGCUGCCACCUCUCAGAACCACGGCUACAAUGGAGAGCAGCGGGGCUUGGCGGGGCAGCCUGGUCGAGAUGCUCAAAGCAUCUGGCGACCAAUGAGCCAGACCCAGGACCAGCACAGGCUCUGGGCCCGGUUGCGGGGCGAGCACUGCUGGGGUCUCAGCUGACUGCGCACAGCAGGGAGGACGCUCGC
RNA transcript from Octodon degus (degu), 1690 nucleotides. It is a transcript of the gene named chromosome unknown C9orf116 homolog, with no coding region annotated. The transcript is spliced from 4 exons. The record is from RefSeq and is a predicted model, not a curated record. Lineage: Eukaryota; Metazoa; Chordata; Mammalia; Rodentia; Octodontidae.